RNAcentral lists this non-coding RNA (750 nucleotides) under Dorcus hopei. The record is from RNAcentral. Lineage: Eukaryota; Metazoa; Arthropoda; Insecta; Coleoptera; Lucanidae.
UAAAAGUUUUAUUCUGGCUUAAAAAUUUGGUAUUUGAUAAUUUUACAUGUAAGGUUAAUUUUAGAUAUUAGUUUGGCAGUAAAUAGAUUUAAUGAUUAAGGAAUCUUAGAAUUAGAUAUUCAUUAAAGUAUAGACUAAUCUUGUGCCAGCAGUUGCGGUUAGACAUGAUAUACUUCUAAAUUUGAUUCGGGUGAUAAUUAUCUAAUGAUUGUGGAACGGGAUCUGAUUGUAUAAGGUGAAAUUUUGUGAUUGGUUUAGUUCAUGUGGUGGUGAAAUAUUAUUAGAUUUUUUAAUGUAGACUAGGAUUAGAUACCCUAUUAUUGAAAAUAUAAAAUUGAACUCCUGAGAAGUAUUAGAUGUUCUUGAAAUUUAAAAAAUUUGGCGGUGUUUUAGUCUAUUCAGAGGAACCUGUCCUGUAAUUGAUAAUCCACGAUUAAUUGAACUUGUCUUUUUAGUUUGUAUAUCGUCGUUAUUUGAAUAUCUUUCAAGGGAGAAAUAUUCAGAAUUUAAGAUUUAAGUAUAAAUCAGAUCAAGGUGCAGCUUACAGAUAAGGAGAGAUGGGUUACAAUGAAUGUAUUUAUAUGGUUUAGAUAAUGAGAUUUUUCUAAUAAAUAGGAUUUGAUAGUAAAUUGGAUAAUUUAAUUUAUUUGACAAUAGCUCUAAAAUAUGCACAUAUCGCCCGUCGCUCCCGCCAUAAGGUUGGAUAAGUCGUAACAAAGUAGGUGUACCGGAAGGUGUACCUGGAAAGUC